RNAcentral lists this unclassified non-coding RNA (301 nucleotides) under Glomeraceae sp. Its description in RNAcentral is "partial contains 5.8S ribosomal RNA and internal transcribed spacer 2". The stretch from base 1 to 65 matches the Rfam family "5.8S ribosomal RNA", at positions 84 to 154 of the family's 154-position model. Lineage: Eukaryota; Fungi; Glomeromycota; Glomeromycetes; Glomerales; Glomeraceae. The record is from RNAcentral.
GUGAAUCAUCAAAUCUUUGAACGCAAAUUGCACUCUCCUCUGAUAGUAUGCCUGUUUGAGGGUCAGCCUAUAAAAAUCGACAUUGUUGCUGUUUUAUGUUGACUUUCGUCGGAGAUGGUUUAUCUUAAAUCUCUGUUUAAGCGACUUAAAAAUUUUUUUUACUAUUCUAAGAAUUUUUCUAAGAUUUUUCUUUUACGUUUAAGGUAUCGAAUUCCUUAUUAUACUUUUCCUUCAUAUCGUAUCUUGUCCAUAAUUUUUUUCGUUAACUUACCUCAUACAGGUCAUAGUACCCGCUUAACUU